RNAcentral lists this long non-coding RNA (1931 nucleotides) under Nicotiana tabacum (common tobacco). RNAcentral's name for it is "long non-coding RNA (NTAB_LNC000163)". Lineage: Eukaryota; Viridiplantae; Streptophyta; Magnoliopsida; Solanales; Solanaceae. The record is from RNAcentral.
GAGAUUGAAAUUUGAUUUCGAGACUUUCGAAAUUUUGAUAAUGAAUUAUAGGACUGAUCUGGAAAGUUUGGUCUAAUUUAAUCAAGUUGCGAUUGGGUUUUUGACACGAAACAUGAGUUAAUUGUUUAACGAGCGAAAUGGGUAUUGAACUGAGCAAAUGAGCUCCGAAUUGAGUUUUGACUGAAGGAAUAUGUUCGUAUUAUUAUUUGUGACUCAUAGGAACAAAAAUCAUCGAAUUCCGAGUUCGUAUGAUGGAGUUAGAGCCUUUUUAAUGAAAAGAAAAGCUGUUGCAAUUUUUUGGGCAGUUUCUGCAUUUUUCGCACGUGUGAACAGUGACCGCACCUGUGUGAACAGUACCGUGAACAGUACCCCCUGAACAGUACUGUACAGAAUGUUAAGUUCUGGAAAAUGGGACGAAUCCCAUUUUCCAUUUUUACCAAAUUGAAGCUCGGGGAGAGGCGAUUUUCGGGAGAUUUUCAGAGAAAACAAUGGGGUAAGUGUUCUUAACUUAAUUUUGGUUAGAUUACCCGAAUCUAUUACUAGUUUUGGCAUUUAAUUGGUGAUUUUAGUUGGGAAAAUCUUGAAAGCCCUCUUGGUUUAAUUUGAAGAUUUGAGGGUCGAGUUGAUGUCGGAUUUUAGUAAAAGUGGUAUGGUUGGACUCGUGGUUGGAUGAGGUUUCAUAUUCCGUAAUUUUUGUCGGGUUCCGAGAUGUGGGCCCCACGGGCGAAUUUUGAGUGCAAUUUCGGAUUUUUAAUGGAAAAUGUAGAAUUUCAUAUGGAACUAAUUCCUAUAAUUUUUAUUAACAGAAUCGAAUUAUUGUGUCUAGAUUCGAGGCAUUCGGAGGUCGAUUUGAGAGACAAAGGCAUCGCGAGUUAGAGGAUUAGCCGGUUCGAGGUAAGUAAUGAUCGUAAAUACUGUCCUGAGGGUUUGAAUCCCGGAUUAUACCUCGUUGUGUUACUUUGAGGUGACUUGCACGCUGGAUGACAAGCGUGGGGUAGAGCACCGCUGGGGAUUGUGACCUGGUCCAUCCCGAACGAAUAUUUUAAUGCGUAUUUGAUAGUUAAUUGUUUGGCAUUAUUAUAUUUUUGGGUUGUAUGCCAUGUUUGGGGCCUUGUGCCGAUUUGUUGAGACCCUUAGGGGCAUUUUUACUAUCUUUCCUCACUCUAUUUGUUUGAAAGCAUAUUUUCAGUCAUAUUUUACCUGUUUAUUGCUCAAAUCUGGCUUUAUCACUAUAUUCUUAACAUGUGGAAAUUGUUUUGGGCUAAGUUCCCUGUUUUACUGAGAUUGACCGAGGGUCUGAUUGUAAGAUUGAUGACUGAGUUAGACUGAGAGUCUGAUGGUGAGGUUAAUGACUGAGAGAGGCCGAGGGCCUAGUUAUGAGGAUUAUAUAUCUAUGGAUCGGGCUGCACGCCGCAGUAAUGUAUAUAUAUAUAUAUAUGUGUAUGGAUCGGGCUGCACGCCGCAGCGAUACUUAUAUGGAUCGGGCUGCGCGCCGCAACAAUAUAGCGUUUGGGCUGUAGGAGCCCCUUCGGAGUCUGCACACCCCUAGUGAGCGCAGUCGACUAUUUAUAUGGAUCGGGUUGUGCGCUACAGCGAUGCAUGGAUCGGGCUGCACGCCGCAACGGUUACUUUGAUUUCAGUUAUUGUGAGAGAUAUACGGAUCGGGCUGCACGCCGCAACGGUUACUAUAUGGUACCAAUUGAGCGUGAAUACUGAGUGCGAGUACUGAUUGGUAAGAGUUGAGUCACGAGUGACAGAGAGGCUAUCCCGAGGGGCGAUAGAUAUAUACAUGCAUAUGAGGGGUAUUUUGCCUGAGAGGCCUGUUUAUGGACUUAUUGAUUUCACUCCUCUUAAAAUGAGUUUCUAUCGAAUAUGUUGAUUUAUUGAUUGUUUUCACCCAUCUUUAUAUUGAGCCUUUGUCAGAAAGUUGC